UGCUUCCUACGGGACGCAGCAGAGGGGAAUAUUGCGCAAUGGGCGAAAGCCUGACGCAGCGACGCCGCGUGAGGGAUGAAGGUCUUCGGAUCGUAAACCUCUGUCAGCAGGGAAGAACGGUCACUGUGCUAAUCAGCAGUGAAUUGACGGUACCUGCAAAGGAAGCACCGGCUAACUCCGUGCCAGCAGCCGCGGUAAUACGGAGGGUGCGAGCGUUAAUCGGAAUUACUGGGCGUAAAGCGCUCGUAGGCGGUAUGUCAGGGCAAGGGAGAAAUCCCCGCGCUCAACGUG
RNAcentral lists this ribosomal RNA (291 nucleotides) under uncultured bacterium. Its description in RNAcentral is "partial 16S ribosomal RNA". It matches the Rfam family "Bacterial small subunit ribosomal RNA", at positions 333 to 616 of the family's 1533-position model. The record is from RNAcentral.